This 981-nucleotide ribosomal RNA is filed under the name human gut metagenome. RNAcentral's name for it is "bacterial LSU rRNA". It matches the Rfam family "Bacterial large subunit ribosomal RNA", at positions 1942 to 2925 of the family's 2925-position model. The record is from RNAcentral.
AUAACGGUCCUAAGGUAGCGAAAUUCCUUGUCAGGUAAGUUCUGACCCGCACGAAAGGCGUAACGAUUUGGGCGCUGUCUCAGCUGUAGACUCGGUGAAGUCUUAGUACCUGUGAAGAUGCAGGUUACCCGCGACUAGACGGAAAGACCCCAUGGAGCUUUACUGUAGCUUGAUAUUGGACUUUGAUGCAAGAUGUACAGGAUAGGUAGGAGACUGAGAGACAUGCACGCCAGUGUGUGAGGAGUCAAUGUUGGGAUACUACUCUUCUUGUAUUGGAGUUCUAACCGGAUGCCAUGGAACUGGCAACGGGACAGUGUCAGGUGGGCAGUUUGACUGGGGCGGUCGCCUCCCAAAGAGUAACGGAGGCGCCCAAAGAUACCCUCAGCUUGGAUGGAAAUCAAGCGCAGAGUGCAAAGGCAUAAGGGUGUUUGACUGCGAGACCUACAAGUCGAGCAGGGACGAAAGUCGGGCUUAGUGAUCCGGCGGUGCUGAAUGGAAAGGCCGUCGCUCAACGGAUAAAAGCUACCCUGGGGAUAACAGGCUGAUCUCCCCCAAGAGUCCACAUCGACGGGGAGGUUUGGCACCUCGAUGUCGGCUCAUCACAUCCUGGGGCUGUAGUAGGUCCCAAGGGUUGGGCUGUUCGCCCAUUAAAGUGGUACGCGAGCUGGGUUCAGAACGUCGUGAGACAGUUCGGUCCCUAUCCGUCGCAGGCGUAGGAAAUUUGAGGAGACCUGUCCUUAGUACGAGAGGACCGGGAUGGACGUACCGCUGGUGUACCAGUUGUUCUGCCAAGGGCAUGGCUGGGUAGCUAAGUACGGAAAGGAUAAGCGCUGAAAGCAUCUAAGCGCGAAGCCCACUUCAAGAUAAGAUUUCCCACCGCAAGGUUAAGAUCCCAGGAAGACUACCUGGUUGAUAGGUCAGAGGUGUAAGUGCAGUAAUGUAUUUAGCUUACUGAUACUAAUAGAUCGAGGACUUGACCAA